GAUAAAUCAAUCUUUCACUUUUUACCUAUAAUGUUUGACAUUUUGUCUUAUUUGAAAAAAUUAUAAUUAAUAUUUUUAUUUUUAUUAGAUAAUAAAUUGUGAAUAGUAAUUUACGUGUGACUAUUUUUUUAUAAUUUCUAAAAAAAUUUCUAAUAAAACAGAUGGUCAAACGCUGAAUACGAAAACCAAAG
Molecule: microRNA precursor, 191 nt
Filed under: Oryza brachyantha (malo sina)
Lineage: Eukaryota; Viridiplantae; Streptophyta; Magnoliopsida; Poales; Poaceae
Description: MIR812 microRNA precursor family
Rfam family: MIR812 microRNA precursor family
Source: Rfam by way of RNAcentral